Molecule: small nucleolar RNA, 107 nt
Organism: Pongo abelii (Sumatran orangutan)
Lineage: Eukaryota; Metazoa; Chordata; Mammalia; Primates; Hominidae
Source: Ensembl
AUUCUUUUUUGGUUCAUAAGUGUGAUGAUUUCGUUUUCAUCUUAAAGUAUGAGAUCAGCCUCCCUCAAACCUUGUUACUACAUCAGCACCACAUUACCCAUCCAAUG